This is a long non-coding RNA of Hypomesus transpacificus, 706 nucleotides long. RefSeq lists it as uncharacterized. The record is from RefSeq and is a predicted model, not a curated record. The transcript is spliced from 2 exons. Lineage: Eukaryota; Metazoa; Chordata; Actinopteri; Osmeriformes; Osmeridae.
CACAACCAACAUCUCGCUCCUUGUUGACAUCUUAAAUAUUUCAGUCAGGAAAAUGUCUGACGGUUUGUUUUGUUUGAGCUUUUAUUUUCCCCAAAUCAUGUACAGUAUAUAAGCAUAACAAAGAGAGUGGUCCCAUUCCCUCCACACCACAGGCAGCACAGACUGAGAGUGGCAGCAGUAGAAGAUGUUACUGAAGGUGUUCGAUCCAUUCUGUCUCUGUGGGUUUCAGCCUCAUGUUUCAGGAAAGUGAAGAACGAGGAUGUUCCUGUAGAUGCUCAGAUGUUUUUUUUCUCUCCAAAAGUGGAUUUAUUUAUGUUUCUUUAUCAUUUUGUUUGUUUGAACGAUUUGGUUUGGUGAAAACUAACACGAGACUCUUAUAGUUUUGAGAUAGCUGGGAUGGUUUUGAGGCCUUUGGCAGAUCAUAGCUUGAGAGAAGAGGACGUGGAUGAGGAGAGCUCCUACGGUCUUCUGAGCCGGCCUGGGAGGCUGUGGAGACAGAUUGGGAGGCCGUACAGACAGCCUGGGAGGCCGUAGAGACAGCCUGUCCAGCAGUCUGUCAGAGCUGCGGAGGCCCUGCUCCCUCUCUGGGAACACAGAACAAAAGUUCCACUAAAAUGCAAAGUUCUGGACGCACUGAAAUACAACAGACACAGACCGAUCUGUAACUUAUACCUUUUUAUUAAAGAGAUGUGUAUUUCUGGGGUCA